Molecule: long non-coding RNA, 1111 nt
Filed under: Mus caroli (Ryukyu mouse)
Lineage: Eukaryota; Metazoa; Chordata; Mammalia; Rodentia; Muridae
Description: lncRNA (MGP_CAROLIEiJ_G0013654.1)
Source: RNAcentral
GUGAGACCGGGACAAUGGAUUACAUUAGAGAAGGAAAAUGUGAAGACUGUAAAUGCUUCUCUAAUGAGAAAGCAGCCACCUAAAUCCCCAGAGCUCAUGUUAUCGUAAUAUUUACUAAUAGGACUCUGACAAUGCCUGGCGCAUAACAGUUCCUGGUAGACAGGUGACAAAUAAAAUAAAAUAAGAAUAAAAUAAAAACAGGGAUAAAUAAAGUGGAAAGGAGUGAUGAGCUCUUGGCUGCCUGUGUAUGUAACCAAAGGUACAAGAGUAACUGAAACAAAACAGGUGCAGAAAUCUCCGUGACAAGAAAGUAACUAUCCGGAAGUCUCUUCUAACCUGGAAGAGAAGCGAUUGUUUCACUGAUUUAUCUCUUUAAGGGUCACUGACAGGUGUCACAGGUCUGGUGGCUUACAGGCAUGACACCACAGGAACAUUCGAAGCAGGAGUGGAUGAGAAAACGGCAGAUCUGUCCACUCUGAUGACGAGAUCACCUAACUCGGUGACCAGACACCUUGGUGUCCCUCCCUUUACUGCCUCUCCAGCUCGAUCUCUACCAGCCUCUUCCAAGUCUACCAUUGUUUUUACAUGGAGGAUGAACUGGAAGUGCCAAGAAAAAUAACAGAGAAUCUUUGGAAGAAGACAGAAACCGAAUUAAACAAGGCUCCAUUCUGAAGAUGUUCUCAGCUCUCGGAUCCCACAAUCACAAAGCAUCCAAAGAGAAAAGACAACUGGUCGAGGAUGGACUUCACUCUCCCAGUACUUAUAACGAAGAGCUCAGACUCGCCUCUUACUGGUGCUUUGUCAUAUUAGAGCAAGUGACUCGGUUCACCUGCUUUCCCUCCUUGCUUCAUCUCACUCCCCAUCACCUAUGCACAUCCACUUCCCACAGCAGGAUGCAGUCAAGGACCACAUAAAGGAAGAUUUCUACUUGAAUUUGCCAGAAGUGGAGCCGUUCUAAAGUUCACCAUAAAUGCUGGGCUGGAAGCCGUCCUAAUAACAUAGGUGUUUCACUCAUAUUCAAGUCUAGCAAUAGAAGAAAGAAUUGCUGCUCAAAGUGUCUCUGAGGGCAGAAAAAAAAAUCGAUAUAUGAAAUAAAAUUCAUGAAAAUUUC